UCCCGUUGAUCCUGCGGGAGAUUGCUGCUAUCGGGAUUCGACUAAGCCAUGCAAGUCCAGGCCACGCAAGUGACCGGCAGAAUGCUCAGUAACACGUCGAUAACCUGCCCUUAGGUCGUGGAUAACCUUGGGAAACUGAGGAUAACACCUGAUAGAAGUUGGGUACUGGAAUGUCCCUUCUUUGAAAGAUUAACGCCUAAGGAUGGGUCGGCGGUCGAUUAGGCUGUUGGCGGGGUAACGGCCCACCAAACCUGAGAUCGGUACGGGCCAUGAGAGUGGUAGCCCGGAGAAGGACCCUGAGAUACUGGUCCUAGCCCUACGGGGUGCAGCAGGCGCGAAACCUUUACAAUGCACGGAAGUGUGAUAAGGGAAUCCCGAGUGCUCAUGCAAAGCAUGGGCUUUUGCCAAGAGUAAAUAUCUUGGCGAAUAAGUGGUGGGAAAGACUGGUGCCAGCCGCCGCGGUAACACCAGCGCCACAAGUGGGAAUCACAAUUAUUGGGCCUAAAGCGUCCGUAGCCGGCCAUGUAAAUCUCUUGUGAAAUCGUUGGGCUUAACUCAACGGCGUGCAGGAGACACCGCAAGGCUCGGGACCGGGAGGGGUCAGAGGUAUUCCGGGGGGAGCGGUAAAAUGUUAUAAUCCUUGGAAGACCACCGGUGGCGAAGGCGUCUGACCAGAACGGAUCCGACGGUGAGGGACGAAAGCCAGGGGAGCAAUCCGGAUUAGAUACCCGAGUAGUCCUGGCCGUAAACGCUGCGAGCUAGGUGUUGCGCAUUCUACGUGAAUGUGCAGUGUCGAAGCGAAGGUGUUAAGCUCGCCGCCUGGGUAGUACGGUCGCAAGACUGAAACUUAAAGGAAUUGGCGGGGGAGCACCACAAGGGGUGCGGCGUGCGGUUUAAUCUAACUCAACGCAGAGAAUCUCACCAGAUGCGACGGCAGGAUGAAAGACAGUCUAAAGGGCUUUCUUGACGAGCCGAGAGGUAGUGCAUGGCCGUCGUCAGCUCGUGCCGUGAGGUGUCCUCUUAAGUGAGGCAACGAGCGAGACCUGUACCUACAAUUGCCAGCGACAGUUUACUGGAUCGGGCACAUUGUAGGGACUGCCCUGGAAACAGGGAGGAAGGUGCAGGCUACGGUAGGUCUGUAUGCUCCGAAUCUUCUGGGCUACACGCGCGCAACAAUGGUAGGGACAAUGGGAUACAACUCCGAAAGGAGAAGUUAAACCUCAAAACCCUAUCUCAGUUCAGAUCGAGGCUUGUAACUCAGCCUCGUAACGACGGAAUCCCUAGUAAUCAGGCGUUAGCAUCGCCCGGUGAAUAUGUCCCUGCUCCUUGCACGCACCGCCCGUCAAACCAACCGAGCAGGGUUUAGGUGAGUACCAGCUUUUUUUGGCUAGUCCGAACCUAAGCUCAGUGAGGUGGGUUAAGUCGUCACAAGGUA
Molecule: ribosomal RNA, 1435 nt
Filed under: metagenome
Description: bacterial SSU rRNA
Rfam family: Archaeal small subunit ribosomal RNA
Source: RNAcentral